This 384-nucleotide ribosomal RNA is filed under the name uncultured bacterium. Its description in RNAcentral is "bacterial SSU rRNA". It matches the Rfam family "Bacterial small subunit ribosomal RNA", at positions 425 to 793 of the family's 1533-position model. The record is from RNAcentral.
GUAAAGCACUUUCAGUCGUGAGGAAGGUAGUGUAGUUAAUAGCUGCAUUAUUUGACGUUAGCGGACAGAAGAAAGCACCGGCUAACUCCGUGCCAGCAGCCGCGGUAAUACGGAGGGUGCGAGCGUUAAUCGGAAUUACUGGGCGUAAAGCGCAUGCAGGUGGUUUGUUAAGUCAGAUGUGAAAGACCCGGGGCUCAACCUCGGAAUAGCAUUUGUAAACUAGGCAGACUAGAGUACUGUAGAGGGGGGUAGGAAUUUCAGGUGUAGCGGUGAAAAUGCGUAGAGAUCUGAAGGAAUACCGGUGGCGAAGGCGGCCCCCUCGGACAGAUACUGACACUCAGAUGCGAAAGCGUGGGGAGCAAACAGGAUUAGAUACCCUGGUAG